This is a long non-coding RNA of Melopsittacus undulatus (budgerigar), 563 nucleotides long. RefSeq lists it as uncharacterized. NCBI's taxonomy places the organism in Eukaryota, Metazoa, Chordata, Aves, Psittaciformes, Psittaculidae. The transcript is spliced from 3 exons. The record is from RefSeq and is a predicted model, not a curated record.
CACACCCACUGAGCUGUGUUGCAGGUGGAGCCCCAAGGUGUGUGUGAAGAAUAUCCGUUUAUCUUCAAGCCACAGGAGCAAAAGCACGGAUCCGUAACGAACUGUGGUAUUUCCAUGCUCUGAAUGUCAACGAGAGGCUUCCAUGAGAGCUAUCCCUCACCACAACCUGGUACUGAAACAGUUGCAUUGAGCGGCCAGCACAGCCAGCUGGCACGCAGGGCUCCUGACUGCAGCUACUGGGAGGCUGAAGAGUCAAGAAGAACCAACAGUGAUCUUCAAGAUGUCUGUAAGGCCCCUAACUAGAGACAGGAUGCCUAAUGUGGUUACAAAUCUUUAUCAUACAGAUGAAUUAGCCUGUGCUAACUGCCCAAGGACCAGAUUAAAUCAUGAGUGAUCAGUGUGCAAAGAAUGAUCUCUGCUCUCUGAAAGUGGGAUAUGGUCAGAAACUAGUGUAUUGAUGCUGGAAUAAAGAUGACAGCUAGUCAGGGAUUUUAUGUAAUUAAAUAUGAAGUGAUUUAAUGGAUUUUUUAAAGUUUAUAAUGCUAAGGUUACUCAUUUUUAUU